Long non-coding RNA from Etheostoma cragini (Arkansas darter), 138 nucleotides. RefSeq lists it as uncharacterized. Lineage: Eukaryota; Metazoa; Chordata; Actinopteri; Perciformes; Percidae. The transcript has 3 exons. The record is from RefSeq and is a predicted model, not a curated record.
UCCAGGGUUCUUCAACGUAUUUUAAACCAAGGACCCCGUAACUAAGAGUGAGAUGGAGCAGAGACCCCCUACUACAUAUUAUAUGAAAUUAAGUUGCAUGUUAAAUUGAGCCUACCAUUAACUGUUAGGGUACCGAAG